ACAACCACAAAUUGCUUUAGAAUCCCCUUUACACUGUGGGUUUGCUGGUGUGCUGGCAUUUAUUUCAGCUUCACAGUGUGGUUAAAAAUAACUAUCAGUUGGCAAAAUUCUCACCAGCCCUUGCUGUUCUCCAUGUCACAGUGGUAAUGGAUCUGAUGGCUGAGGCGGGACGGCCUCAGCCCAUCGGUGAUCAGUAUCUCUGCAGUUGCAUGGAAGUCCUUCAGGGACUAAAUUCAAUCCCAGGGGGUUCAUUUAAGAAGCACUGGCCUAGGGUCAACAGAUUUGGUUCAUCGUUCACUAUGUGCAGAGCACACUACUAGAAGCACAAAGGGUUGAAACUGCCUAAACUGUACACAGCAACCUUUCUGAUGGUCAUGACAUAAACUCACUGUGG
This 394-nucleotide long non-coding RNA is filed under the name Ornithorhynchus anatinus (platypus). RNAcentral describes it as "lncRNA (ENSOANG00000046091.1)". Lineage: Eukaryota; Metazoa; Chordata; Mammalia; Monotremata; Ornithorhynchidae. The record is from RNAcentral.